This is a long non-coding RNA of Lolium perenne, 2807 nucleotides long. RefSeq lists it as uncharacterized. Lineage: Eukaryota; Viridiplantae; Streptophyta; Magnoliopsida; Poales; Poaceae. The record is from RefSeq and is a predicted model, not a curated record.
UGAGCCGCACAAUCAAAAUAUCUGACGUCUCAUGUCUCUUCCGUGUUUGACGGGAGCGGACAACUCAUACCACGGUAAUCCCUUCCCCCGCAUGAUUAACGAGCGGUUAUCAUCAAGAUCCCAUCGCCGCCCUCCCACCGCAGCCGUCCUCUCUUCGUCGCCGCCCUGCCGCCCCAUCCUCCCUGGCCGCUAACGCCUUACAAUCUACCCGUCCUACCGCCCUCAACGCCGGGAAGCGAAUCCCCCCCCCUCCACGCCGGGAAGCGAGGCUGCCCUCAACACCGGGAAGCGAAUCCCCCCUCAACGCUGGGGAAUCGAGGCCGCCCUCCACGUCGAGGAAUCGAGGCUGCCCUCCACGCCGGGAAGCGACGCCGCCCUGCACGCCGGGAAGCGACGCCGCUGCACGCCGGGAAGAGAGGACGACCUGAACACCGUUACUCCGACGACACCCACAUUGGCUGAACUCACGCAACUCCACAACUUCCCUACAAUUCGACCACCGGUUGCUGCACUUUCUUCAGGUUCAGCGUCUUAAAUUUGAAUAGAGACCUGUUGCCAACCAAUGGUAGAGAUCAAAGUAUAUCAUAUUGUUAUGACAGAAAAUUAACCCAGUUAUCUUAAGUUACUGAUAUCUUAGUGCUUCGUGAUACGCACUGAUGCCAGGAUAUCAAACUCCUAAGUCACGGUUGUGUGUGCCAUUCAGGCCACUCAUCCACAAAAAGCAGAAUGCUGAUGGUGAAAAGGCCCGCUUCAAGAAAUUGGACCAAGGGUCUUUUUUGCUUUGAAGGUUGGGACACUCUUCUACCUGUAGCUCUGUCGUAGGAGGAACGUAGUACAUCUGUUUUGCGUUCAUGUCCAGGUGCAGUUCCUUGUGAGUUGCACAUCUGUAUUGUGGUCCAUUCUGAUUGAGUAUUAUUCUUCUUGAUAUCUCCUACACAACUACAUAAUAGGCUGGUAGGUAUUAGCAUGAAUGGAACCACUAGAUCAUAAAACGAGGUACAGAUGCCUUCUCCAUAAUUCCGUUUGUUGCCCAUAUCUUAUUCACGGAAAAUCCUUGUGAUAUUGUUGGCACGUUAUUUUUUGUUUUCUCGUGCUUGAUUAGUGCCUUCCCCUCAUGUGUUGCGAAUUACUUGGGUUAGGAUGAGCUGGACCAAAAAUUUCAUAUUCAGCUUUGACAAUGUGUUCUAUGAUGAGGCUGAACAAUCUGAUGUCUAUAUUUGUCUGACAGUCAACAUUGUUAAACAUUUUGAUUAUUUGUAUUUCUUUCAAAAUUUAUGCAUAAGGUAGUCUAGGAUUUGUCAUAUUAUAAAUUUUGGUCAUGACUGGAUUUAUUUAGGCACCAUAGUACUAAUUCAGUAACGAAUAUUGGGUUCAUACGAUGACAUUGGAAUAAAUGGCACAAUAAUCCCUUAUGGACAAGUAUGCGUCACUGUAAAAGCCAGCUUACACAAAUGUUUGGAAAAGCAUGAUCCAUUGAUAAACCCAUUGUGUGUUAAAGUGAAGAUUGGCCUACUGAAGUCUCAAACUUACACAAAGGCAGCAUAUAUGAAAUGAGAUGAUUCUAUGACAGUGCUAACAUUUCAUUUGAACUUCACAUUCGUGUAAACUGGAGUUGGAAAGACUAGCAUCAAGUGUGGAGGUAAAGAUAACACCAUUGGGCAUAAAUUUAGAUGUUCAUAGGGGCCAAGCAUCUUGCAGUACAAUGAGCUGAAAACUGGACUGGUUCGGAGAGUUGUAAUUGGUCCUUUAAGUGCUUUAAGAACAUCAGCAAACAUUAGAACAUGGACCUUGAAGUUGACAAUGAGUUACUCAAAAGUGCAGAUAGCCAAUGAUGCAAGAACACUGGGCAGAUGUGCGUUUGGAUUUACCUUUUCCAUUAGUAGCGAAAAAGUCCACCUAAAAGGUCAGUGAAUCCUUUAAUUUCUUUUGAAUUUGUUGUGGAGGCGAGUUAGGAAUGUAUUCCUUGUUAUUAAUUUGGUGGAUAUACUGCUAUGGUAAUGGAGACUUGCCAAACCAAAUCGUGUUUUCCCCAUUUGAAGUGUUUAGAAGUUUCUCCGAUACAUUAAAAUGUGUCAACAAGUCGAGGAGGAGCUUGACAAGGUGCAGGCGGUGAUUCACACAUGAACAGAUGGAGCCUUUAUGCAGCUUUUCAAGCUGUGGUAGUACGGCAAUGACGACGACGUGCCUCCAGCUAGGGUCGAAUGCGUAUCGAGGGUAUUAACAAGCUCCUCUCACAAUGAAAAACUUUUUUUCUUAGAAUCAGCUGUUUUAAUUGUAUCAACCGAUUGGGCUGAUGAUGUAAUAUAGUCGGUGUGACUGCUGCAUGAAGUACUUACCAGGGUAUUAACAAGUAAACUUUGGAUCCCUCUCGCUACUGCUCAUUGAUUCUGAAUACUCAUUUAUAGGAGUAUUGUUUUUGAGAAGCAGGAAUAUCUACAUUAUUUACAUUGAGAUAUCGGUUGCAUUGUGAUCUGCAGGUGAGACUGGGGUAGGCAGGAGCCUGCCGUACCGUGUUAGUACAUGACGUUGAUGUCCAUCUCAUCGACAUGGUUCGUUGCCGUCUACCUCAACAUCGCUGAGCAGGCACUUUGGUACUCUUACUCCAUUACGAGAGCUCUGGUUCUCUUGCUCUUGCAUUGCAAGUGUAAUUACACAUUUUUUUCCCCUUGUAUUGAAGUCUUUACCUGUGAACGUUUUAGUCAUAAUUUCUUAAUAAUUAAGUGACCGCUGAAUGUAACUGUGUAUUAUAUUUACUUCACCAUGCCAUCAUUAGAAUACAGAAAUGGUAUGUUUUACUUUAUGAGUUC